Molecule: ribosomal RNA, 416 nt
Filed under: uncultured bacterium
Lineage: Bacteria
Description: bacterial SSU rRNA
Rfam family: Bacterial small subunit ribosomal RNA
Source: RNAcentral
UCGAGAAUCUUUCACAAUGGGGGAAACCCUGAUGGAGCGACGCCGCGUGGAGGAUGAAGGUCUUCGGAUUGUAAACUCCUGUCAUGAGGGAACAAAGCCCGCGAGGGUGUGAUAGUACUUCAAGAGGAAGGGACGGCUAACUUCGUGCCAGCAGCCGCGGUAAUACGAAGGUCCCAAGCGUUGUUCGGAAUUACUGGGCGUAAAGGGAGCGUAGGCGGCGCGGAAAGUCAGAUGUGAAAUCCCGGGGCUCAACCCCGUAACUGCAUCCGAUACUUCCGUGCUUGAGGACUGGAGAGGAGUCUGGAAUUCACGGUGUAGCAGUGAAAUGCGUAGAUAUCGUGAGGAACACUAGUGGCGAAGGCGAGACUCUGGACAGUUCCUGACGCUGAGGCUCGAAGGCCAGGGGAGCGAAGGGG